AGGACGAACGCUGGCGGCGUGCUUAACACAUGCAAGUCGAGCGGAAAGGCCCUUCGGGGUACUCGAGCGGCGAACGGGUGAGUAACACGUGAGCAACCUGCCCUUAGCUCUGGGAUAGCUCCGGGAAACCGGAAUUAAUACCGGAUACGACCUAGGCCGACAUCGGCCAUGGUGGAAAGUUUUUCGGCUAGGGAUGGACUCGCGGCCUAUCAGCUAGUUGGUGGGGUAAAGGCCUACCAAGGCGACGACGGGUAGCCGGCCCGAGAGGGCGACCGGCCACACUGGGACUGAGACACGGUCCAGACUCCUACGGGAGGCAGCAGUGGGGAAUAUUGGACAAUGGGGGCAACCCUGAUCCAGCCAUGCCGCGUGAGUGAUGAAGGCCUUCGGGUUGUAAAGCUCUUUUGGCGGGACGAUAAUGACGGUACCCGCAGAAUAACGCCCGGCUAACUUCGUGCCAGCAGCCGC
RNAcentral lists this ribosomal RNA (468 nucleotides) under uncultured bacterium. RNAcentral describes it as "SSU rRNA". It matches the Rfam family "Bacterial small subunit ribosomal RNA", at positions 26 to 518 of the family's 1533-position model. The record is from RNAcentral.